RNAcentral lists this long non-coding RNA (222 nucleotides) under Solanum tuberosum (potato). RNAcentral's name for it is "long non-coding RNA (STUB_LNC007787)". The record is from RNAcentral. Lineage: Eukaryota; Viridiplantae; Streptophyta; Magnoliopsida; Solanales; Solanaceae.
AAUUGAAGGAUGUGGGAUGUUAGCCUUGAAUGGGCAAAAUUGUGAAUUGGUCUUCAUGUUGAUUAUGGGCUUAUGCUUAGCUUAGUUUGUAUAGUUGAAUGUUGUUAUUAUCAUUGUUAUUGUAUUGUUAAUUGUUGGAAUAUGAGGAUGAUGAAGAUUGCCAUGGAAAGAGGGUAAGUUGAUCAAACUUGAUAAAUAUUGUAUAAUUGGCAUGGAAUUGAG